This 384-nucleotide ribosomal RNA is filed under the name Triticum aestivum (bread wheat). Its description in RNAcentral is "partial small subunit ribosomal RNA". The record is from RNAcentral. Lineage: Eukaryota; Viridiplantae; Streptophyta; Magnoliopsida; Poales; Poaceae.
AUGUGCAUCGAAGGUCUGGGCGCCGUGAACGAGUUCCCCCGCGACCAGCGCCGCCGUGGCCAUUCCCUCGCCUUCCUCCUCUACGCCACCUGCCCGCCGGCAGGGCCUCGUCCCUACCUCUGGCGCGCCAAGUUCAUCAUCAUCCUCCCCCUUGCUGUUGCUGCUCCUCAUAGGUCUUCCUGGUGCCCUCGUCUCUGCUCGCGGGAGGACGAGUGCGACCGCUACUUCGAUCUGCGAUGCGCGAGACCCCUUGGCCUUGCUGUGAUCUGGAUAUGUCGAUACCACCGUUGCCACGUUGAUUCCUCUGCCCCGGAGUACCUCAAGUUCGUCUACACGAGGCUGCCAAGUACAUCUACGCAUAGAUAUCGCCAAGUACCACGAUGA